AUUGAACGCUGGCGGCAUGCCUUACACAUGCAAGUCGAACGGCAGCGGGGGAGAAGCUUGCUUUUCCUGCCGGCGAGUGGCGAACGGGUGAGUAAUACAUCGGAACGUGCCCUGUAGUGGGGGAUAACUAGUCGAAAGAUUAGCUAAUACCGCAUACGACCUGAGGGUGAAAGUGGGGGACCGCAAGGCCUCAUGCUAUGGGAGCGGCCGAUGUCUGAUUAGCUAGUUGGUGGGGUAAAGGCCUACCAAGGCGACGAUCAGUAGCUGGUCUGAGAAGACGAUCAGCCACACUGGGACUGAGACACGGCCCAGACUCCUACGGGAGGCAGCAGUGGGGAAUUUUGGACAAUGGGCGAAAGCCUGAUCCAGCAAUGCCGCGUGUGUGAAGAAGGCCUUCGGGUUGUAAAGCACUUUUGUCCGGAAAGAAAUGGCUCUGGUUAAUACCUGGGGUCGAUGACGGUACCGGAAGAAUAAGGACCGGCUAACUACGUGCCAGCAGCCGCGGUAA
This 508-nucleotide ribosomal RNA is filed under the name uncultured bacterium. RNAcentral's name for it is "partial 16S ribosomal RNA". It matches the Rfam family "Bacterial small subunit ribosomal RNA", at positions 30 to 523 of the family's 1533-position model. The record is from RNAcentral.